CGGUUGUUGUAAUUUGUAUUUUAAAAAAAGAAAUAAAAACUUGCUUGCUGUGCUGUGUGAAGUUAUAAAGCAGUUGGGGAUUGGCAGAACACUCGAAAAGUGUGAAAAAGCACUCCACUACGCGUCGUGCUUCUCCUAACACUUCUCUCCUGUUCUGCCAACCCCCGCGUGCUUUAUGACUGCACACGGCACGCGCGCGCGUUUUCUAUUUCUUCAUUAGUCGGCUAAGCAUCUGGUACGGCUGUAUAUUUUUACGAGUCACGGAGUAUUUUGGCAAACCUUUAGGCGUGCCAAAAUAAAAGUGACGACUAAAAAUGCCCAGCCGUAUCAGAUGCUUAGCCGACUGAUAAGUUGUUUAUCAUUUAAUUCUGCAAAGAAAUCCUCAAACUCCCUCUAAACUCUAUCUUACCCAGCGCGAGCAGAUGAGACGCACGUUAUUUGCAGAAGUAUUAAAUGAUAACUUACUUAAUUUCGGCUUACUUACCUAACUAACGUACCAACCAACCUACUUACAUACCCACCUCCCUACCAACCCACUUACUUGUAGACGUACCUACGAACUUCAUUGCGCAAUAUUUUGACAAAUUUUUAAAAAAAUGAAAAAAGAACAAAAAAAAACAAAACAAAACAAAACAAAACAAAACAUGCUCUUUGCAUAAAAUAUUUAUCCAACAGGUUUUUGAUAACUAUUCAUGCAAAAUGAUAUGAAAAUUCAUUAACGAUCUUUCGCUUCUAGAAAAUCGUUCCCAAUUAGUCAUUCCGAGGUUGGGUAAAAAACUAGGUCGAGCUGGUAUUGCAGUGCAUUCUGGGGCUGUUUUAGGGGACAAAUGAAUAGACGCCAUCUUGGUAACAUGUGCCCUAGAAUAACCAAACUUAACCCCGGCUCACAAUGCACUGCAAUAACAAUACUCGACCCAGUUUUACCUCAACCUCUGAAUGGCUAAUAAAGCUAGGGCCCAACUUUUGUGGUAGAAAAUAAAGAGUUUCUGUUAAUCACGCACCAUUAGGAUAAGUGUCCACUUCUAGGAACAUUCAUUUUCGACAAUAACGAGUGGGAGACUGUAUUUUUUGCGGGUGACUAGGACAACAAUCUCGUACCCAGAGCCUGCGUUUCUUCUGGCCUGCUUUGAAGAACGAGGGCUCUGGCAUAAUUCUUUUUUUGAGACCAGGAUUUCUUGGACUUCUGGUAUAACAGCGCACGCGUUCAAAGACUUGUCAAAAAUUUAAAAUAUUUCCCCCGCCCCCCCCGAUAUUUAAUUUGUACUAUGAUUUUAACUUUGAUUUUGAGUUCGAUUUAAUUUUACUUUGCUUAUUUUGACCGUUUAUAUCUCACUUUCCGAUAAUUCCGCAUGCACCAAAAUAUGGAUUAUGCCAGAGCCCUCGUUCUUCGUCACAGGCCAGAAGAAAUGCAGGCUCUGGGUACGAGAUUGCUAGGACAAGCGAGCGCAGUGAUGGGUAGACAACAUUUGGUCAAUAUCAACAAAAACAUCAAAGUUCUAUAUCAUAUUGCUUAGGUCUUCCCACUUCAUGUUGACAAAGUGUUCCUGACUUCGUACUCGUACUCGUCAUUCCCGUACCUAACAUUAUGAUACGAUGUUUCUGACACUUCAGGUUCCAAUAUAUAUAUAUAUCUAUUUUAAAGUUAUUUAAUAGAAUUUUAAUACAAAUUUUUAUUCCUAAUAUAAUAACUUUUAAAUAUAUUGAUGUGACUUUGUCGAAAAAUGUUUCAUGAUUCAUGUUGUAAAGCAGAAAUUUUGGCUCAAACAACAACAUAAUUUUUGGAAAAACCACUGUAGACGCCUUGCCCUAAUUCUCAAUAAUCCUGCAAAGAAUUCAUUUCCCCGGUCUUUUUCGAAGGUUGAAAUCUUGUUGGAUGAUUGCUGUCUAGACCCCCAAGGCCCGGUUGUACUAAGCCUGGAUAGCUUGUGGAUAAAUUUGUUGGAUAACAGCAUCGACUUAUCCACUGGAUGAGGAUUUAUCCGCCGGAUAGCGCUAUCCAGGCUUCGUACAACCGGGACCAGGUCUAGAUUUGUGCAAGGGGUCUAGAAACUGCACUGCUAUCAAGUUAUUUAAAUCAGGCUUCAAACUCUUAUUUACAUCAUUGAAAAUAUACGUGAGCCAAUCAGAAUGCAGGAAAUCUAUUGUAUAUUCGACGGUAUUCUCUCAUCUCUUACGAUCAUGCAUUGCGGGUUUUGAAUUUCUAAUGCUUAUAUGCUAUAAAAUGGAGUGCGAUUACUCUUGGGAUAUUUCAUGGAAACUGAGCACGUAUGAUUAAAGCGAUUGCCAUAUGCGAUUGCCAUGCGUUCCUCAUAAUUGUUAUCUUAGGCCCCGUCCACACGUAUCCGGAAAUUUUUGUAUCCGCAAAUUUUUUUUGCGGAUACGGGCCGGUUGCGUCCACACGUAUCCGCAAAUUUUACGAAAACGGAUACGUGUGGACGGUGAAAACGAUUCGAAUACGCUGCGUGUGGACGCAAACAUUUUCGUAUCCGCAAAAAAUAAUUUGCGGAUACAAAAAAUUCCGGAUACGUGUGGACGGGGCCUUAAUUGCUAAUACUUCUUGUAGAAGUAGAACCGUAAUCUAUGUCUUCCUUUUCUACUGGUCAAGUAUGAUAGCGUGGCGUAAUUUUACUACCACUACCGAGAUGUAUGCUUUGCGAUUUUUUUUCUUAUUGAUAGUUCUAUUUCCUCAUGAGAAUAGUAAGACAUUGGUGCUAAUUAACUGAACAAGAGAAAGUGUACAAGGGAGUCUGGUAGUGGUAGUAAAUGACGUUAUAAUGCAAGUGACCAAGAGUUUCAAUAUGAAAAUAUUCUAUUUCUAGUCNUAUGGUUUAGUAAAGGCAUCCAUUAUUAACUACAGCUCUAUGUCAUGUAUUAGCGUUUUUAAUAAAGAAAUAACAUGAAUUGUGGUGUGAGGUUUC
Molecule: long non-coding RNA, 2918 nt
Filed under: Actinia tenebrosa (Australian red waratah sea anemone)
Lineage: Eukaryota; Metazoa; Cnidaria; Anthozoa; Actiniaria; Actiniidae
Description: uncharacterized LOC116296148
Source: RNAcentral